RNAcentral lists this long non-coding RNA (1425 nucleotides) under Equus asinus (donkey). RNAcentral's name for it is "lncRNA (ENSEASG00005029673.1)". The record is from RNAcentral. Lineage: Eukaryota; Metazoa; Chordata; Mammalia; Perissodactyla; Equidae.
UUUAUUUCAUUGACAUCAGUAACACUAUUCACAGAGAAUUCAUUCCAGAAGGUUAAACACUCAACCAGGCUUGUAAUAUAGGAAUCUUGAAGUUUUUGAGAAGGUUUCUGCUACACACAAGGAGUAAAAUGUGACCCUUUGCUCAGUUACUGAGUUGUGGUGUUCUCCUGGGGACAAUUUAAGUCUUCUUUUAAAGGCAAAGAGGUCAGUCUCCCUACUCCCCAGCCUCUCGGCGUCUGUGGUUGCCAUCCCACUGUGGCUCUGGAUCAGAUGGCCCUACCUCACCUUGUUCUGGGAGUCUGGCACUUUUCCCCAAGAGAAUACCUCUUCCAUUCUCUGGACAGCCCUCAGCUCCAACAGCAGAGUAACACCCAUUCCCCAGCUCCCCCCUCUACCACCAGGGUGAAUGGUUCAAGGGCAACUCUAAUUCCCCUUGUUCAGUGUAUUUCAGAAUCUGUGCACAGCUCCUUUAAGAAUGAGAAGAAGACAGCAGAGGAGCAAGUGUGGCCAAAGGGCUGUUAGCUGGACCAUCUCCUUCUGCGGCAUCUGGUCUGAGCUCCCCUCCGCCUGUGGGACCCACCUCUCACUCUCUGAGGAUUCCCUGAAGUCAGACCCACCUUUAGGUUCUGCCCUUUUCCCUGAGCUUGUCCUUGGUCUUUGCUCUGUUGACUUGCGCCUCUUUGACCGCAGACACGUGCAGGCCUCUGCCCUGGCCCACCUCUCCUGCAGUCCUGAUCUGGACAACUGUUGGCUCCACUCUGUCCCCUGCUUCUGUCUGAGCCAGUGCUUGUUAACAGGUCUUUCGUGUGGCUCCUUCUUUCAUAUUUUAUGGCACUCCUUUCCUGAACUUGGCACCAAGUCCCUCUGGAACUGUCCUGGGAGAUAAUACAAUGUCACUGCUAAGGGCAACAACCGAUUGUCCCUCUUCCUCAAUGAUCUGCCAGUGUCCGUGAGCUGAACUCUCUCUCCGCUGGGAGAAGUCAAUGGAGGUCACUGCCCGAGAGAUUGAGGGUCAGUCUUUGUCUGCCUUCUUGACAGCUCCAAAAGUCUCAUGUUUCUGAUGAGAUCUGCUGAAGCUUUAUGGAGAGAAAAACCCAAGUGGUUCAAGCCGGCGUGCCUGGAUUCCCCUGGAAACAGCAGGAAGGCCCUUUCUGGGGGCUAUUUGUUAAAAUCGGUUACAGUGCAUUCCAGGAGAGAUGUUCCAAUGGCAGCCUUGCCGGAAUAGGAGCGAGAACAUGGAACGUGGAGUCAGUCAACCCAAGUUUCAAUGGGCAGAAGCAGCUCCUCACUUUCCAAACGAACAACCUUGUGCAAGUCAUCAAAACUCCCCGAGCCUUCGCUUCAUCAUCUAUAAAAUGAGGAUGAAAAGAAGACCUUUCUGACGGUGCUGGUUUGAAGAUCAAAUAAAAUAAUGAAUGUGAAAGU